The sequence is a ribosomal RNA, 613 nucleotides long. It matches the Rfam family "Bacterial large subunit ribosomal RNA", at positions 2320 to 2925 of the family's 2925-position model.
CCUCAGCCUGGUUGGCAAUCAGGUGUUGAGUGUAAGUGCACAAGGGAGCUUGACUGUGAGACCGACGGGUCGAGCAGGGACGAAAGUCGGGACUAGUGAUCCGGCAGUGGCUUGUGGAAGCGCUGUCGCUCAACGGAUAAAAGGUACCCCGGGGAUAACAGGCUGAUCUUCCCCAAGAGUCCAUAUCGACGGGAUGGUUUGGCACCUCGAUGUCGGCUCGUCGCAUCCUGGGGCUGGAGUCGGUCCCAAGGGUUGGGCUGUUCGCCCAUUAAAGCGGUACGCGAGCUGGGUUUAGAACGUCGUGAGACAGUUCGGUCCCUAUCCGCUGCGCGCGCAGGAAUAUUGAGAAGGGCUGUCCCUAGUACGAGAGGACCGGGACGGACGAACCUCUGGUGUGCCAGUUGUCCUGCCAAGGGCAUGGCUGGUUGGCUACGUUCGGAAAGGAUAACCGCUGAAAGCAUCUAAGCGGGAAGCCUGCUUCGAGAUGAGUAUUCCCACCCCCUUUGAGGGGUUAAGGCUCCCAGUAGACGACUGGGUUGAUAGGCCAGAUGUGGAAGCCCGGUAACGGGUGGAGCUGACUGGUACUAAUAGGCCGAGGGCUUGUCCUCAGUUG